RNAcentral lists this ribosomal RNA (465 nucleotides) under uncultured bacterium. RNAcentral's name for it is "partial 16S ribosomal RNA". It matches the Rfam family "Bacterial small subunit ribosomal RNA", at positions 338 to 795 of the family's 1533-position model. The record is from RNAcentral.
CCUACGGGAGGCAGCAGUGGGGAAUUUUGCGCAAUGCUCGUAAGAGUGACGCAGCUACGCCGCGUGAAUGACGCAGGCCUUCGGGUCGUACAGUUCUUUCGACAGGGAAGAAAAUGCCUAUAAGUAACUGUGUAUGUAUUUACGGUACCUGUAUAAGCAGCCCCGGAUAACUCCGUGCCAGCAGCCGCGGUAAUACGGAGGGGGCGAGCGUUGUUCGGAUUGACGGGGCUUAAAGGGCACGUAGGCGGUGUUGUAAGUCAUUAGUCAAAGGCUAGAGCUCAACUUUAGUAAGGCUAGUGAUACUAUAAUACUAGAGUAUCAGAGAGGAUUGCAGAAUUCCUGGUGUAGUGGUGAAAUGCGUAGAUAGCAGGAGGAAUACCGUUAGCGAAGGCGGCAAUCUGGCUGGAAACUGACGCUGAGGUGCGAAAGCGUGGGUAGCAAACAGGAUUAGAUACCCCGGUAGUC